UGAAUAAAUAUUCCGCACCUUGAAAUCAUCAUUCUUGAUAGAUAUGAACAUCUUCAUAUAAUGUCGUGGAAUGACUCUUCAAUAUCUCCAUAGAUGCUUUCUCAACGCCAUCAUGCUUAUAAUAGCAAGAUUCAUAUGUACACAAAUUGUACUUAGGAUGUGGUACUUCAGGACCACGAAUGCAUAUGCUUCAAGCAACUUAAAUCUUUCAAGUUAAGUCAUAUAAGCCAUAUAAUAGAC
RNAcentral lists this long non-coding RNA (240 nucleotides) under Nicotiana benthamiana. RNAcentral describes it as "long non-coding RNA (NBEN_LNC021479)". The record is from RNAcentral. Lineage: Eukaryota; Viridiplantae; Streptophyta; Magnoliopsida; Solanales; Solanaceae.